AAACUUUCAACAACGGAUCUCUUGGCUCUGGCAUCGAUGAAGAACGCAGCGAAAUGCGAUAAGUAAUGUGAAUUGCAGAAUUCAGUGAAUCAUCGAAUCUUUGAACGCACAUUGCGCCCGCCAGCACCCUGGCGGGCAUGCCUGUCCGAGCGUCAUU
This 157-nucleotide ribosomal RNA is filed under the name Polycephalomyces sp. NBRC 100747. Its description in RNAcentral is "5.8S ribosomal RNA". It matches the Rfam family "5.8S ribosomal RNA". From Rfam's summary of the family: 5.8S ribosomal RNA (5.8S rRNA) is a component of the large subunit of the eukaryotic ribosome. The record is from RNAcentral. Lineage: Eukaryota; Fungi; Ascomycota; Sordariomycetes; Hypocreales; Polycephalomycetaceae.